This 542-nucleotide non-coding RNA is filed under the name Pongo abelii (Sumatran orangutan). Lineage: Eukaryota; Metazoa; Chordata; Mammalia; Primates; Hominidae. The record is from RNAcentral.
UUGUUUUCUAAUUUAGAGACUUGCAUCUUUUCGACUCUCAACAUUAUCAAGACACUCUGCUACUACAGAUUGAUUUCCACCAUCAACACCUUUACCUCUUCCCGCCUGAAAAUAAAAUAUGAAAUACAACAAGUAAAUCGCAACCUACCUUGCACAGUAUCUUCUGGAGAGGGAAAGAAGAAACCAUGUCUAGACAAGGUGCUGGAAAGACCCAGGGAAGACAUAGGGAAAUCAUCUUUUGGGAACUUAUCUAAGAACUUCUUAUGAUACAUGAAGUCUGGGGGUAAGACCUGCAGUAAUUUCCUUUAAGAUACUACAGAAUUUCUAAGGACUUGAGGAAUAAUUGCACUCUUGAAACAGCCUAUGAAAAAAGAAGAGACUUGGGAAAUUUAACAGAAGUUCACUUUCCACCACUGUGCAAACUAAGGAAAAACUUACAGCAGUAAAUAGCUUCAGUUGGCAAAGCUAUUUUGGCUCAUAAGCAGCUAUCAGGCCUUGAUAAGGUCCACAAGUCUGCUGUUCUAAAAUUAAAGAAAAAAAAA